RNAcentral lists this transfer RNA (65 nucleotides) under Dipodomys ordii (Ord's kangaroo rat). It matches the Rfam family "tRNA". From Rfam's summary of the family: Transfer RNA (tRNA) molecules are approximately 80 nucleotides in length. Their secondary structure includes four short double-helical elements and three loops (D, anti-codon, and T loops). Lineage: Eukaryota; Metazoa; Chordata; Mammalia; Rodentia; Heteromyidae. The record is from Rfam by way of RNAcentral.
GGUGGCUCAGUGGUAGAGCGCUUGCCUCGUAUGCAUAAGGCCCUGGGUUCGAUUCCUCAGCACCA